RNA transcript from Malania oleifera, 1424 nucleotides. RefSeq lists it as uncharacterized. The transcript is spliced from 4 exons. Lineage: Eukaryota; Viridiplantae; Streptophyta; Magnoliopsida; Santalales; Ximeniaceae. The record is from RefSeq and is a predicted model, not a curated record.
CUAUUGAUUGAAACUUAGCUUUGAACUUCAUAUUCUAGAUUAGUGGAUUCUCCUCUCUUUUCAAACCAAGAGAUUCCAUAAGAUCUAAAAAUUUUCAAUUUAACCAUUAGAACUCAUUUUAGUGAUGAAUCCAAGCUUGAUUUGCUAUUAUGGGGUAUUCUCCUUAUCAUCAUGAAAACAUGUGGCUUGCUCUUCAACCAAGUGCACUUGUACUGUAGGAACUGCACGAUGAGGUGUUUAUGUCAAGAAAAGGGCUAUUGAAUGAACACAAACGGAAAUGGGAGGAGUGACUUCUAGCAAAUGGUUUCAUCUAUCAGAAACAAUGGCGAGAGAAGGAACAAGGACCUGGAAAUGGAAGGAUAAUUUAGGUUUCAACCUUGAUGCCCAAAAUAUGGGAUAUAGUAAAAAACACAAGUCGGAUAUGGCAUCGCAAUGCCAAGGUGGUGGCAAAAGUGACCACAUGGUAAAAGAAACAACCCUUGUAACCCCCAUUGGAGGGCAGAAGCUUCCAAAUCCUCGGGUCUUAGCUUCAUUCUUUCACUCAAAUUCCUUGUAUUAUGCAAAACCAACGAUAGAAUCCAUCAAGCCUAGAGUAAGUGUUUUCCUAGAACAUAGGAUAGCAUUUACAACAGUAUAAAUUAACAUUUUAGUUUAUAAAAACUAAAAAUAAAUUUAAACACAUAAAACAUAUACAAAAUUUAUAAUUUAAAAUUUGAAAAAUAAAAUAGAUAUAUAUUUAAUGGAAAUCAUUUUAAAGAGAUUGUGUAGACUCUUUUCAUUUUCUUGAGUUCCCAUCCUCAUCCUUAAUUGAUGUUGCGCUACAGAAUUGGAAACUUGAAAUAGAGCUAUGCAAAUCUUUUCUCUUUUCGAAGCUCUAAUGCUUCCACUUCCCUCUUACCACCACCCACCUGUCAGCCCCCACCACUGCCUCGACAACACCUUGCCCUUCUCUUUUUCUCUUUCCCUUAUUUUUUCCCUAUGAAUUUACGUAGUGAUGCUUCAUGCUAUCAUCAUGCCAUGUCCGAAAUCCAAAUUUCGUCAGGGGUCAUUUGGCUACAUAGUCAUUGUCAAUAGUUAGGAAGCUGAAAGUUGGGCACUUCGUCAUCACUUGAACAAAACAGAUGAAUGGUUUAGAAACCUUGAUUUUCUUCCCAACACCAAGUAGAGGUAGUACAACUACUCCAUAUUUGAAUGCUUUACCGUUGAGAUUCUAACGUAUAACAACAUAGAUGAUGGAACUGAAGACUGGACGCAAUAAUCAAACAAACCUUUUUGAAGCUAGGUAUUAUGAAUGUUAGAUUAUUUUGUAUUGUAUAUAUGGGAAGGGAAAAGCUUCAUUUAUAAGGGUUUGUUAAAUCUUGUUUGGGGUUGUUGUAUAUCCUAUAUAUACUCAUUCAAUGGGAUUGAUAAAAGUCAUUACUCAA